CCUACGGGAGGCUGCAGUGGGGAAUAUUGCACAAUGGGCGAAAGCCUGAUGCAGCAACGCCGCGUGAGGGACGACGGCCUUCGGGUUGUAAACCUCUUUUAGUAGGGAAGAAGCGAAAGUGACGGUACCUGCAGAAAAAGCACCGGCUAACUACGUGCCAGCAGCCGCGGUAAUACGUAGGGUGCAAGCGUUAUCCGGAAUUAUUGGGCGUAAAGAGCUCGUAGGCGGUCUGUCGCGUCUGCUGUGAAAACUGGAGGCUCAACCUCCAGCCUGCAGUGGGUACGGGCAGACUAGAGUGCGGUAGGGGAGAUUGGAAUUCCUGGUGUAGCGGUGGAAUGCGCAGAUAUCAGGAGGAACACCAACGGCGAAGGCAGCACUCUGGGCCGGUACUGACGCUGAGGAGCGAAAGCGUGGGGAGCAAACAGGAUUAGAUACCCCAGUAGUCAA
Molecule: ribosomal RNA, 447 nt
Filed under: uncultured Cryocola sp.
Lineage: Bacteria; Bacillati; Actinomycetota; Actinomycetes; Micrococcales; Microbacteriaceae
Description: bacterial SSU rRNA
Rfam family: Bacterial small subunit ribosomal RNA
Source: RNAcentral